GCUGGCGGCACGCCUAACACAUGCAAGUCGAGCGAGGUACUUGUACCUAGCGGCAGACGGGUGCGUAACAUGUGGGAAUCUGCCUUUUGGUUCGGAACAACACGGGGAAACUUGUGCUAAUACCGGAUAAGUCCUAACGGAGAAAGAUUUAUCGCCGAAAGAUGAGCCCGCACUAGAUUAGCUUGUUGGUAAGGUAAAAGCUUACCAAGGCUACGAUCUAUAGCUGAUUUGAGAGGAUGAUCAGCCACACUGGGACUGAGACACGGCCCAGACUCCUACGGGAGGCAGCAGUGGGGAAUCUUGCACAAUGGAGGAAACUCUGAUGCAGCGAUGCCGCGUGAGUGAAGAAGGCCCUUGGGUUGUAAAGCUCUUUUGUCGGGAAAGAUAAUGACUGUACCCGAAGAAUAAGGUCCGGCUAACUUCGUGCCAGCAGCCGCGGUAAUACGAAGGGACCUAGCGUAAUUCGGAAUUACUGGGCGUAAAGCGCGCGUAGGCGGUUAAGUAAGUUAAUUGUGAAAGCCCAAAGCUCAACUUUGGAAUUGCAAUUAAAACUACUUAGCUAGAGUUUAUCAGAGGAAAGCGGAAUACAUAGUG
RNAcentral lists this ribosomal RNA (594 nucleotides) under uncultured Pseudomonadota bacterium. RNAcentral describes it as "bacterial SSU rRNA". It matches the Rfam family "Bacterial small subunit ribosomal RNA", at positions 35 to 675 of the family's 1533-position model. The record is from RNAcentral. Lineage: Bacteria; Pseudomonadati; Pseudomonadota.